RNAcentral lists this long non-coding RNA (1627 nucleotides) under Phasianus colchicus (ring-necked pheasant). Its description in RNAcentral is "lncRNA (ENSPCLG00000015867.1)". The record is from RNAcentral. Lineage: Eukaryota; Metazoa; Chordata; Aves; Galliformes; Phasianidae.
UGGCCCCCCAGUCGCCCCCCAGCCACCCUCAGCAGCCCCCCCUCCGCCUGGACCUCGUGGACACAGCCGUGGUCGCCCGGCAUCGCCCCCGGGGACCCGAAAGCCCCCCCAGCAACCGCUACGCCGGCGACUGGAGCAUCGAGCUGGGGAGAUACGAGGAGGUGACGAGCGGCGACAGUCGUGUCGCGAAUCGCCGGACCCUUAUCGUGACCGAUUUUGGUCUCGGCGACGAAAGCGAUUCGUCGUUCGCUCCGAUGCUUAACCUCAAAGACUUCGAUGCUCUCAUCCUCGACCUCGAGAGGGAGUUGGCCAAACAGAUCAACGUCUGUCUGUGAUGCCGGUACCGAGCAAAACGACACCGGUACCGAGCCAACGACACCGGCACCGAGCAAACGACACCAGCACCGAGCAAAUGGCACCGGUACCAACAACACCGGCACCGAGCAAAUGACACCGGCACUGAGCAAACGACAGCAGCACCGAGCAAACGACACCGGCACCGAGCAAACGACACCGGUACUGACAACACUGGUACCAACAACACCGGCACCGAGCAAACGACACCGGUACCGAGCAAACGACACCGGCACCGAGCAAACGACACCGGCACCGAGCAAACGACACCGGUACUGACAACACCGGUACCGAGCAAAACGACACCGGCACCGACAACACCGGUACCAACAACACCGGCACCGAGCAACAACAACACUGGCACUGAGCAAAUGACACCGGUACCGAGCAAACGACACCGGUACCAACAACACUGGCACCGAGCAAACGGCACCGGUACCAACAACACCGGCACCGAGCAAACGGCACCGGUACCAACAACACCGGCACCGAGCAAACAACACCGGCACUGUGCAAACGACAGCGGCACCGAGCAAACGACACCGGCACUGAGCAAACGACACCGGCACCAACAACACCGGCACCGUGCAAACAACACCGGUACUGAGCAAACGGCACCGGCAUCGAGCAAACGACACCAGUACCAACAACACCGGCACCGAGCAAACAACACCGGUACCGACAACACCGGCACCGAGUAAAUGAUACCGGCACCGAGCAAACGACAUCGGCACCGAGCAAAUGACACCGGUACCGACAACACCGGUACCGAGCAAACGACACCGGCACCGAGCAAAUGACACCGGCACUGACAACACCGGUACCGAGCAAACGACACCGGCACUGAGCAAACGACACCAGCACCAAGCAAACAACAUCGGCACCAAUCAAACGACACCAGCACCAACAACACCGGUAACGAGCAAAACGACACCGGCACUGAGAAAAUGACACCGGCACCGUGCAAACAACACCGGUACCGACAACACCGGUACCAAGCAAAUGACACCGGCACUGAGCAAACGACACUGGCACCGAGCAAAACAACACCGGCACCGAGCAAACGACACCGGAUCAGGAAAAAAAACCCAAAAAAAACCCGACACCGGCACCGUCGAGUGAGCGACCAAAAAAAACCCCAAAAAUCGGCACUCGCCUUCGUUUGCCUUGGGUUUGCACAGCGACAGACGGAAGGGAAGCCGGCAGCAGGAGGUGAUGGAGCCUUUGUGGGACCCCAGACCCACCGGGUUGGACCCCCCACCCAACCCCCGUU